GAGAAAUGCAGGGUCAAGAGAGAAGGUGGCCAACAGCUGGGGAAGAAGCUGAGGUGCUCUGCAUGCCAACAAUGUCUGUGCCCCAGAGCAGCCGCAAACUCCCACGUUCUUUCUCCCCUGGCUAUCCAAGAGUGGAUUGGCUGCAGGUACCUUAUCAGAGUGAGAAAAUGAAGAAAACAGGAAAAGAUGAUGGGUCUGAAGAGUGCUCAUCUACACUAAAGGCUUAUCAUAUGCCUACAGACUAGUCAUCAUUGGGAAACAGCUGGAAUAUCAGGCCAAGAGCACAGGAGUGGGAAACAGAGGAGCUUCCAGUCCCAGCUCUGCUCUGUCACCCCGAGAAAAUCCCUCCGCCUGUCUAAGCCACACGUUCACAUGUGUAGAUAAGGACACCAGCACUCCCCAUGGUGGUGUGAGGUCAGAUGAAAUGAUGUGCAUGAAGUUUCUGGGUACAGUAAACAACGCACUGGACAAAGGAAAGGCAUAUCUACUCUGCUUUUCUCUCUCUCCUGGGCUUCCCUGGUGGCUCAGAUGGUAACGAAUUUGCCGGCAAUGUGGGAGACCUGGGUUCGAUCCCUGGAUUGGGAAGAUCCCCUGGAGGAGGGCAUGGCAACCCACUCCAGUAUUCUUGCCUGGAGAAUCCCCAUGGACAGAGGAGCCUGGCAGGCUACAGUCCAUGGGGUCGCAAAGAGUCGGACAAGACUGAGUGACUCAGCACAACAUUCCCCUCUCUCCCACCACAGUGCACAAAGGCACAUUUUAGGAAACCUUGGAAUUGAUGAGCCAGCACCUUCCAACCAGCGGGGAUAGGCCUACGA
Long non-coding RNA from Bos taurus (domestic cattle), 815 nucleotides. The record is from Ensembl. Lineage: Eukaryota; Metazoa; Chordata; Mammalia; Artiodactyla; Bovidae.